AACGCUUUGGCCGAGUGGUUAAGGCUUGUGCCUGCUAAGUACAUGGUGUUUCCCCGCAAGAGUUCGAAUCUCUCAAGUGUUG
This is a non-coding RNA of Helianthus annuus (common sunflower), 82 nucleotides long. The record is from Rfam. Lineage: Eukaryota; Viridiplantae; Streptophyta; Magnoliopsida; Asterales; Asteraceae.